RNAcentral lists this ribosomal RNA (451 nucleotides) under uncultured bacterium. RNAcentral describes it as "bacterial SSU rRNA". It matches the Rfam family "Bacterial small subunit ribosomal RNA", at positions 29 to 523 of the family's 1533-position model. The record is from RNAcentral.
AGCGAACGCUGGCGGCAGGCCUAACACAUGCAAGUCGAGCGGCCGUAGCAAUACGGCAGCGGCAGACGGGAGAGUAACACGUGGGAACGCGCCCUUCGGUUCGGGAUAACCCAGGGAAACUUGGGCUAAUACCGGAUACGCCCUUACGGGGAAAGAUUUAUUGCCGAAGGAACGGCCCGCGUCCGAUUAGCUAGUUGGUGAGGUAAUGGCUCACCAAGGCGACGAUCGGUAGCUGGUCUGAGAGGAUGACCAGCCUCACUGGGACUGAGACACGGCCCAGACUCCUACGGGAGGCAGCAGUGGGGAAUAUUGGACAAUGGGCGCAAGCCUGAUCCAGCCAUGCCGCGUGGGUGAUGAAGGCCCUAGGGUUGUAAAGCCCUUUCAGCGGGGAAGAUAAUGACGGUACCCGCAGAAGAAGCCCCGGCUAACUUCGUGCCAGCAGCCGCGGUAA